CCUGCACCUGCCGGCGACCGGCGCACGGGUGAGUAACACGUAUGGAACCUGCCCGCCACAGGGGGAUAACCCGGGGAAACCCGGCCUAAUACCUCAUGCCGCCCGGACCGGGCAUCCGGUCCGGGCGAAAGGAGGAAUCCGGUGGCGGCUGGGCAUGCGGCGCAUUAGCUUGACGGCGGGGUAACGGCCCACCGUGGCGACGAUGCGUAGGGGUUCUGAGAGGAAGGCCCCCCACACUGGAACUGAGACACGGUCCAGACUCCUACGGGAGGCAGCAG
RNAcentral lists this ribosomal RNA (278 nucleotides) under uncultured bacterium. RNAcentral describes it as "partial 16S ribosomal RNA". It matches the Rfam family "Bacterial small subunit ribosomal RNA", at positions 74 to 354 of the family's 1533-position model. The record is from RNAcentral.